This 24-nucleotide non-coding RNA is filed under the name Drosophila melanogaster (fruit fly). The record is from RNAcentral. RNAcentral also lists the same sequence under 3 other names. Lineage: Eukaryota; Metazoa; Arthropoda; Insecta; Diptera; Drosophilidae.
CUGAAUCCAGCGAUCCGAGUUCAA